Nannospalax galili (Upper Galilee mountains blind mole rat) is the source of this 328-nucleotide long non-coding RNA. RefSeq lists it as uncharacterized. The record is from RefSeq and is a predicted model, not a curated record. The transcript is spliced from 3 exons. NCBI's taxonomy places the organism in Eukaryota, Metazoa, Chordata, Mammalia, Rodentia, Spalacidae.
AAGGGCACACCAAGGAGAAGGAACAGCAUAAAGGCUUAGAGGUCACCUGUAGCUUCCAUAUGAAGAACACCAGGAAAGUGAGAUCACAGGUGAUUCCUCAUCUUCGGGGCCCAAAACAUGUUCAAGAGCUUAUGUAAGCCCAGCAAGGUCAAAUUUCCUCAGACUAUCCAGCUAGCCCCAGGUUAGCCUGGUGACAGGAUGUAGGAGACAUGGAGGAGUGUCAGAAAGUGUCACCUGAGACCAUCAAAGAUUGGACAUCCCCAACCAACAUGCUAACUACGACAGACGCAUGUAUAAGCCUAGGGAGGAUUAGCCAGCUCCACCCAGA